RNAcentral lists this transfer RNA (68 nucleotides) under Gymnothorax undulatus (undulated moray). Its description in RNAcentral is "tRNA-Ser". Lineage: Eukaryota; Metazoa; Chordata; Actinopteri; Anguilliformes; Muraenidae. The record is from RNAcentral.
AAGGGAGAACGCAAUCUCGGGAGAGUGCUAAUUUUUCCAAGCCGUGGUUAGACUCCAUGGGUCCCUUG